Leptinotarsa decemlineata (Colorado potato beetle) is the source of this 267-nucleotide long non-coding RNA. The record is from RefSeq and is a predicted model, not a curated record. Lineage: Eukaryota; Metazoa; Arthropoda; Insecta; Coleoptera; Chrysomelidae.
UUUAUUAUUCUUCACAUUUUGGGGAAGUUUGUUAUAUUCAAUGAGGCCUUUAUAUAAUAAAAUUUUCAUGGAGUUUGAUAAACUACAUCGUGGCAGGUGAAAAUUGUCAUUUUGUCUAGUAGUGUAAUUGUGAGUGGAAUUUCUAUAAAUGAUAAAUUCUUCGAAAUAAGAAGGUAGCAUAUGAUUGGUUAUCUUAAAAAUAAAUAUCAUUGCUGACCUGUAAUAUCUUUCACGAAUAGACAUCCACUGUAAUGCACUGAGCAUAAA